GUCGCUUUCCAAAUAUAAUCCGUAAUUACUGAGACAAAUAGAACCCAAAUUUGAAUAAUUUAUUACUAAUGUCGCUCAUUGUCAUAAUGUAAUAAAUAGACAAAUAAAAUAAGAUUUUUUUCUUUUUCUUUAUCUUACUGCUUUAAAAUAAAGCUCGAGUGAUUUUGUUUCUGAAAAUAAGAAAGUGAGGGGAGAUAGUGGAAAGAAGAAAACA
Molecule: long non-coding RNA, 214 nt
Organism: Arabidopsis thaliana (thale cress)
Lineage: Eukaryota; Viridiplantae; Streptophyta; Magnoliopsida; Brassicales; Brassicaceae
Product: other RNA
Exons: 1
Source: RefSeq